Molecule: ribosomal RNA, 153 nt
Filed under: Balantidium ctenopharyngodoni
Lineage: Eukaryota; Ciliophora; Litostomatea; Vestibuliferida; Balantidiidae
Description: 5.8S ribosomal RNA
Rfam family: 5.8S ribosomal RNA
About the family: 5.8S ribosomal RNA (5.8S rRNA) is a component of the large subunit of the eukaryotic ribosome. It is transcribed by RNA polymerase I as part of the 45S precursor that also contains 18S and 28S rRNA.
Source: RNAcentral
AAUCUAAAUUUUCAACGAUGGAUGUCUUGGCUCCCAUAUCGAUGAAGAACGCAGCAAGAAUGCGAUAUGCAAUGUGAAUUGCAGAACCAUGAAUCAUCGGAUAUUCUAACGCAACUGGCACUGGUUUACCAGUAUAUUUGUUUCAGUGUGCUU